This 397-nucleotide ribosomal RNA is filed under the name uncultured bacterium. Its description in RNAcentral is "partial 16S ribosomal RNA". It matches the Rfam family "Bacterial small subunit ribosomal RNA", at positions 523 to 918 of the family's 1533-position model. The record is from RNAcentral.
AUACGUAGGGGGCGAGCGUUGUCCGGAAUGACUGGGCGUAAAGGGCGUGUAGGCGGUUGAAUAAGUCUGGAGUGAAAGUCCCGGUUUCAAGUUGGGAACUGCUUUGGAUACUGUUCAACUUGAGUGCGGAAGAGGGAAGUGGAAUUCCCCGUGUAGCGGUGAAAUGCGUAGAGAUUGGGAGGAACACCAGUGGCGAAGGCGACUUACUGGGCCGUAACUGACGCUGAGGCGCGAAAGCGUGGGGAGCGAACAGGAUUAGAUACCCUGGUAGUCCACGCGGUAAACGAUGAAUGCUAGGUGUUGCGGGUAUCGACCCCUGCAGUGCCGGAGUAAACACAAUAAGCAUUCCGCCUGGGGAGUACGGCCGCAAGGUUGAAACUCAAAGGAAUUGACGGGG